RNAcentral lists this ribosomal RNA (425 nucleotides) under uncultured Lysobacteraceae bacterium. RNAcentral's name for it is "bacterial SSU rRNA". It matches the Rfam family "Bacterial small subunit ribosomal RNA", at positions 356 to 774 of the family's 1533-position model. The record is from RNAcentral. Lineage: Bacteria; Pseudomonadati; Pseudomonadota; Gammaproteobacteria; Lysobacterales; Lysobacteraceae.
GGGGAAUAUUGGACAAUGGGCGCAAGCCUGAUCCAGCCAUGCCGCGUGGGUGAAGAAGGCCUUCGGGUUGUAAAGCCCUUUUGUUGGGAAAGAAAAGCAGCCGGCCAAUACCCGGUUGUUCUGACGCUACCCAAAGAAUAAGCACCGGCUAACUUCGUGCCAGCAGCCGCGGUAAUACGAAGGGUGCAAGCGUUACUCGGAAUUACUGGGCGUAAAGCGGCGUAGGUGGUGGUUUAAGUCCGUUGUGAAAGCCCUGGGCUCAACCUGGGGACUGCAGUGGGUACCGGAUCACUAGGGUGUGGGCGAGGGGAGUGGGAUUCCCGGUGUAGCCGGGAAAUGCGUAGAGAUCGGGAGGAACCUCAGUGGCGAAGGCGAAUGCCUGGGCCAAAACUGACACUGAGGCAAGAAAGCGUUGGGAGCAAACA